ACGCGAAGAUCCUCAGCAUGACUCGACAUGUCGAGAAUCCUUCUGAAAGGAAUGAGUCCGUUCGGGAGCGUGAACACAAGUGGUGCAUGGCUGUUGUCAGCUUGUGUUGUGAGAAGUUGGGUUAAGUUCCGCAACGAGCGCAACCCUUGUUUUUAGUUGCCAGCAUUAAGUUGGGCCCUUUAGAGAGAACGCCGGUGACAAACCGGAGGAAGGGGGGGGAGACGUCAAGUCAGCAUGCCCCUUACGUCGUGGGGUACACCACUAGUACAAAGGUAGGGACAAAGGGCAGCUACACAGCGAUAGAUUGUAAUUUCAGAAACCGUAGCUCAGUUCAGAUUGAACUCUGCAACUGAGAUUCAUGAAGGAGGAAUCGUUAGUAUCGCAGGUCAGCAUAUUGCAGUGAAUUCGUUCCCAGGCCUUGUACACACCGCCCGUCACACCAUGGAAGUCGGGUCACGCCGGAAGUC
Molecule: ribosomal RNA, 467 nt
Filed under: Nostoc sp. Fsalt
Lineage: Bacteria; Bacillati; Cyanobacteriota; Cyanophyceae; Nostocales; Nostocaceae
Description: bacterial SSU rRNA
Rfam family: Bacterial small subunit ribosomal RNA
Source: RNAcentral